This 494-nucleotide ribosomal RNA is filed under the name uncultured bacterium. RNAcentral's name for it is "partial 16S ribosomal RNA". It matches the Rfam family "Bacterial small subunit ribosomal RNA", at positions 28 to 507 of the family's 1533-position model. The record is from RNAcentral.
GACGAACGCUGGCGGCGUGCUUAACACAUGCAAGUCGAACGGUGAAGCGCCUUCCUUUUUGGUGGGUGUGGAUGGGUGGCGAACGGGUGAGUAACACGUGAGUAACCUGCCCCCUUCUUCUGGAUAACCGCAUGAAAGUGUGGCUAAUACGGGAUAUUCUGGGUCUGUCGCAUGAUGGGUCUGGGAAAGAUAUUGUUUCGGUGGGGGAUGGGCUCGCGGCCUAUCAGCUUGUUGGUGGGGUGAUGGCCUACCAAGGCGGUGACGGGUAGCCGGCCUGAGAGGGUGGACGGUCACACGGGGACUGAGACACGGCCCAGACUCCUACGGGAGGCAGCAGUGGGGAAUAUUGCACAAUGGGCGCAAGCCUGAUGCAGCGACGCCGCGUGAGGGAUGGAGGCCUUCGGGUUGUGAACCUCUUUCGCCAGUGAAGCAGGCCUGCCUCGUUUGUGGGUGGGUUGACGGUAGCUGGAUAAGAAGCGCCGGCUAACUACGUG